UGAGUACGAGCUGCUACGGCAGCGAAGUGGGUGACGUCAAGCUUCCAAGAAAAGCCCUACACCCGUUAAGGCAUGAUGGCCCGUACCCGAAACCGACACAGGUAGGAUGGUAGAGAAUACCGAGGGGCGCGAGGUAACUCUCUCUAAGGAACUCGGCAAAAUGGCCCCGUAACUUCGGGAGAAGGGGUGCCACCGCAAGGUGGUCGCAGUGAAGAGGCCCAGGCGACUGUUUACCAAAAACACAGGUCUCCGCUAAGUCGCAAGACGAUGUAUGGGGGCUGACGCCUGCCCAGUGCCGGAAGGUUAAGGAAGCUGGUCAGCGUAAGCGAAGCUAGCGACUGAAGCCCCGGUGAACGGCGGCCGUAACUAUAACGGUCCUAAGGUAGCGAAAUUCCUUGUCGGGUAAGUUCCGACCCGCACGAAAGGCGUAACGAUCUGGGCGCUGUCUCGGAGAGAGGCUCGGCGAAAUAGAAUCGUCUGUGAAGAUGCGGACUACGUGCACCCGGACAGAAAGACCCUAUGAAGCUUUACUGUAGCUUGGUAUUGUGCCCGGGCUCUGAAUGCGCAGGAUAGGUGGGAGGCUUUGAUCAACAGCUUGCGGGUUGUUGUGAGCCAACGGUGAGAUACCACUCUUUCAGAGCUAGGGUUCUAACGGUCACCCGUUAUCCGGGGACCGGACAGUAUCAGGUGGGCAGUUUGACUGGGGCGGUCGCCUCCUAAAAGGUAACGGAGGCGCGCAAAGGUUUGCUCAGGCUGGUUGGAAAUCAGCCGACGAGUGUAAAAGCAGAAGCAAGCUUGACUGUGAGACCUACAAGUCGAACAGGGACGAAAGUCGGCUUUAGUGAUCCGACGGUUCUGAGUGGAAGGGCCGUCGCUCAACGGAUAAAAGUUACUCUAGGAUAACAGGCUGAUCUCCCCCAAGAGUUCACAUCGACGGGGAGGUUUGGCACCUCGAUGUCGGCUCAUCGCAACCUGGGGCUGAAGUCGGUCCCAAGGGUUGGGCUGUUCGCCCAUUAAAGCGGUACGCGAGCUGGGUUCAGAACGUCGUGAGACAGUUCGGUCCAUAUCCGGUGCAUGCGCAGGAGUAUUGAGAGGAGUUCUCCCUAGUACGAGAGGACCGGGAGGAACGCACCUCUGGUGUACCAGUUAUCGUGCCAACGGUAAACGCUGGGUAGCCAUGUGCGGAGAGGAUAACCGCUGAAAGCAUCUAAGUGGGAAGCCCACCUCAAGAUGAGUAUUCCCAUGGCAUAAGCCAGUAAGGUCACGGGAAGAACACCCGUUGAUAGGCUCUACGUGGAAGCGCAGUAAUGCGUGAAGCGGAGGAGUACUAAUAGACCGAGGGC
RNAcentral lists this ribosomal RNA (1343 nucleotides) under metagenome. Its description in RNAcentral is "bacterial LSU rRNA". It matches the Rfam family "Bacterial large subunit ribosomal RNA", at positions 1564 to 2912 of the family's 2925-position model. The record is from RNAcentral.